GCCGGGCGGCGUCCUCCCGAGCUCCGCGCCCUGAUUGGCCGCCCGGGCCGCGCGCUGAUUGGCUGCGGCGGAUGCCUCGCGGGCCGGUGGUUAUGGAGGCGGCGGCGGUUGAUGGUUGACUGUUGGCUGCAGGGUAGGGGUCGCCGUUCGGGCGAGCCGCUCAGACCCGACCAGAGGGCGCGCGUAGCUGACGCUCGCCUCGAGUGUGGGGGCACCGGCGGGUUCGGCUCCGCGAUGCCGGCCGGGAGCAACGAGCCGGACGGCGUCCUCAGCUAUCAGAGACCAGAUGAAGAAGCUGUGGUGGAUCAGGGUGGGACCAGUACAAUUCUCAACAUUCAUUAUGAAAAAGAAGAGUUGGAAGCUUGAGGCACUAUUGUUCCUGAUUCAGUUGUCCUCCAGUGAGUGCCCAAUGGAGCUUUAUGAGCACUCUUGUCUACAUAGAAGUAGAAUACUAAGCUGGAGUUGGCUGUCUUGGAUCCUGAGGUCUGGGUUCCAUCCACAGAGAUCAGCUGAGUACUGCAGCAGGAGCAACUUCUCAGGAUGACAUCAUCUGUUCCUUAUGUGCUCUCUAAUUUGCUAUAAAAGAAAGCCACCUAUGGUGAUGGUGUUACUUGGGGAGAAUGUGUUGAGAAAUGAUCUUUCAUACAUAGAUGUUUUUGAAAACAAGAAUCUUAAUUGUAUGAGUCCUUUUUAUAAAGUGCUACAGGCAAAUGGAGGACAAAUGGCAUCCAUUCCACAGACCUCAUGUAGUUCUUGAGCAGCUCUGAGAUGAAAGGAAGGAGUUUGGAUUUGCUGUAGGGUUGGUUGUACUGUGUGGUCCCACCCUGAUUCACUGCAAAGGGCAGCCCUAGGACAUAGUGAGGCUGCACUGUGGGUGGGUGACAUCUCUUGAUGAUGUAGAAUAAAAUCAGAAGACGGAACUAAAUUGUGCUCUGAAUCGAUACACAUGUCAUGAUACAAGGUUCCACGGUUGGAGAAAAAUCUCCUGGUCUUCCUUUGCCUUUCUUCCAUGCCCUCUAGUCUACAUGACAUAAGGCAUUCCUUUACUCCAUAUUCAGAACUACUUCUGAUAAUAUCUGCAUGUUAUUAGAAACUUUUGUAAAUGUGGAUAUUUCUGCAUCCAUCAGUGCUAUCAGAAAGUGCAUUAAACCAUGAUGUUGCUUUUCUUAUAUAUGGAAAGAGAAAACUCACACCAGAGAGCUUUCCAAAGACAUCCCCAAAAGGGCAAUAAUAGUGCAUGAUGUUCUUCCACAGACUCUCUCAAUCCCAGAGGAAUGGGGUACAGUUGCUUUAGUUAGAGGAAUGGCUUUUUCCAUUUUUCCUGGCAGAUCAUUAUUCCUGCUUAAACUACUAGAUUUAUGACUCCCGGAGUAAGCUUAAUGCCUUCUAAUUAGUUUUACUAGAA
This 1405-nucleotide long non-coding RNA is filed under the name Dasypus novemcinctus (nine-banded armadillo). RNAcentral describes it as "lncRNA (ENSDNOG00000052899.1)". Lineage: Eukaryota; Metazoa; Chordata; Mammalia; Cingulata; Dasypodidae. The record is from RNAcentral.